This 451-nucleotide ribosomal RNA is filed under the name uncultured bacterium. RNAcentral's name for it is "partial 16S ribosomal RNA". It matches the Rfam family "Bacterial small subunit ribosomal RNA", at positions 29 to 523 of the family's 1533-position model. The record is from RNAcentral.
AACGAACGCUGGCGGCAGGCUUAACACAUGCAAGUCGAACGCUCGUAGCAAUACGGGAGUGGCAGACGGGUGAGUAACGCGUGGGAACGUGCCCAAAGGUACGGAACAACUCCGGGAAACUGGAGCUAAUACCGUAUGUGCCCGAAAGGGGAAAGAUUUAUCGCCUUUGGAUCGGCCCGCGUCGGAUUAGCUAGUUGGUGGGGUAAUGGCCUACCAAGGCGACGAUCCGUAGCUGGUCUGAGAGGAUGAUCAGCCACACUGGGACUGAGACACGGCCCAGACUCCUACGGGAGGCAGCAGUGGGGAAUAUUGGACAAUGGGCGCAAGCCUGAUCCAGCCAUGCCGCGUGAGUGAUGAAGGCCUUAGGGUUGUAAAGCUCUUUCGCCAGGGACGAUAAUGACGGUACCUGGAUAAGAAGCCCCGGCUAACUUCGUGCCAGCAGCCGCCGCCG